GACGAACGCUGGCGGCGUGCUUAACACAUGCAAGUCGAACGAAAAUACCAAGCUUGCUUGGUUGAUUAGUGGCGAACGGGUGAGUAACACGUGAGUAACCUGCCCCUUACUUUCCUGGAUAACUGCUCGAAAGGGUAGCUAAUACGGGAUAUUCUGACCAGCCUGCAUGGGUUGGUUUGGAAAGGUUGUUUUUCUGGUAAGGGAUGGGCUCGCGGCCUAUCAGCUUGUUGGUGGGGUGAUGGCCUACCAAGGCUUUGACGGGUAGCCGGCCUGAGAGGGUGGACGGUCACACUGGGACUGAGAUACGGCCCAGACUCCUACGGGAGGAAGCAGUGGGGAAUAUUGCACAAUGGGCGCAAGCCUGAUGCAGCGACGCCGCGUGAGGGAUGAAGGCCUUCGGGGUGUAAACCUCUUUCGUCAGGGAACAAGGCACUGCUUUUUUGGUGGUGUUGAGGGUACCUGGAUAAGAAGCGCCGGCUAACUACGUG
Molecule: ribosomal RNA, 488 nt
Filed under: uncultured bacterium
Lineage: Bacteria
Description: partial 16S ribosomal RNA
Rfam family: Bacterial small subunit ribosomal RNA
Source: RNAcentral